GACGAACGCUGGCGGCGUGCUUAACACAUGCAAGUCGAACGGAAAGGCCUCUUUCGGGGGGUACUCGAGUGGCGAACGGGUGAGUAACACGUGAGUAACCUGCCCUUGACUUUGGGAUAACUUCCGGAAACUGGGGCUAAUACCGGAUAGGAGCUCCUGCUGCAUGGUGGGGGUUGGAGAGUUUCGGCGGUUGGGGGUGGCCUCUCGGCUUAUCCGCUUGUUGGUGGGGUGGUGGCUUACCAAGGCUUUGCCGGGUAGCCGGCCUGUGAGGGUGACUGGCCACAUUGGGACUGAGAGACGGCCCAGACUCCUACGGGAGGCAGCAGUGGGGAAGAUUGCACAAGGGGUGGAAGCCUGAUGCAGCAACGCCGUGGGCGGGAGGACGGCCUUAGGGUUGUAAACCGCUUUCGCUCAUGACGAAGCUUUGUGUGACGGUAGUGGGUAAAGAAGCACCGGCUAACUACGUG
Molecule: ribosomal RNA, 467 nt
Filed under: uncultured bacterium
Lineage: Bacteria
Description: partial 16S ribosomal RNA
Rfam family: Bacterial small subunit ribosomal RNA
Source: RNAcentral